UAGUGAAAUUGGCCUAUAAUU
Molecule: non-coding RNA, 21 nt
Filed under: Caenorhabditis elegans
Lineage: Eukaryota; Metazoa; Nematoda; Chromadorea; Rhabditida; Rhabditidae
Source: RNAcentral